CAAUAGAGCGGGACCGGGAGGGUGGUGGGAGGAGCGGGGUGGGGAGUGUUGUCCUUGGACGGCGGGAUUCUCAGGCUGCCCUGAUUUGGGGAACGUAUUUGGACCCGGGGCUGUGGCUCCGUAAAGAGUGAUCAUUCAUUCAGCCAAGUCUAUAUUUCUUAAACUCAAUCUAGUAUUUAUCGAAGCUCAAUAGUAUCUACUUGCGAGGUCCUGGGAACACGUAAACACACAUCCUGACCUGGCAGGCUCAUCACUUUUGAGGAAGAUCCCACCGUGAAAGAAGGGAACAAUGGGGACGAUGCGGAGCUGGGCCCUGCGGGGCUCCUGGACACGAAGGUCUCUUUGUCCCCCAUUUCUUGUAGGCAAGACUCCAGCCUCCAUGACCUUCUUUUAAUCCCAAAGGUCAGAACAGUUGCUAAUCAAGGGAAGAGCAGCUAGGAAACCACCUGAGGCAAGAUCAAAGGGUCAUCAAGAAUUAGGAGACCUAACCAUCCAAGCCGCUGCACACUCUAACCUUGUCAGCAACCUCACCUUUUUGAAACUUUGCAGAAGAAGAAUGCAAGACUGUUACCAUCUUGAUCCUUCUCAGCAUAUGGGACCUUAGUUCCCAGACCAGAGAUAGAAGAAUGCCCCCUGCGCUGGAAGCAUGGAGUCUUAACCAGUGGACUGCCAGGGAAGUCCGGCAAUUGGUAUCUUUAACAGUAGUUAAGAACAAAAUUCUGGAGCCA
Long non-coding RNA from Bubalus bubalis (water buffalo), 728 nucleotides. RefSeq lists it as uncharacterized. The record is from RefSeq and is a predicted model, not a curated record. The transcript is spliced from 2 exons. NCBI's taxonomy places the organism in Eukaryota, Metazoa, Chordata, Mammalia, Artiodactyla, Bovidae.